This 170-nucleotide non-coding RNA is filed under the name uncultured Dysosmobacter sp. RNAcentral's name for it is "Lysine riboswitch". It matches the Rfam family "Lysine riboswitch aptamer". Rfam says of the family: Riboswitches are metabolite binding domains within certain messenger RNAs that serve as precision sensors for their corresponding targets. Allosteric rearrangement of mRNA structure is mediated by ligand binding, and this results in modulation of gene expression. The record is from RNAcentral. Lineage: Bacteria; Bacillati; Bacillota; Clostridia; Eubacteriales; Oscillospiraceae.
UGAUAGAGGUGCGAACGUCAAGAGUAUUUCUUCCCAUAUGACAGGCACAGGGAAGGGAGAAAGGGGCUUUCGCCGAGGUUCCGGACGUCUCAGCCUGGAGGCGCGGAGUCGGGUCGUGGGAGAAGAUCUCACGGACUGUCGUCCCUUUAUUGGGGACGGAGCGCUGUCGU